GACGAACGCUGGCGGCGUGCUUAACACAUGCAAGUCGAACGGUAAGGCCUUGCUUGGUACACAAGCGACGGACGGGUGAGUAACACGCGGGUGAGCUGCCCUGCACUUCGUUAGAAGUCUGGGAGAGUGGGUCUAAUUACUGAUAUGACCGCCUCUCUCAUGGUGUGUGGUGUAAAGAUUUAUCGGUGAAGGAUGGGCCCGCGGCGUAUCAGCUUGUUGGUGGGGUAAUGUCCUCCAAAGGCGACGACGGGGAGCCGACCUGAGAGGGUGACCGGCCACACUGGGACUGGGACACGGCCCAGCCUCCUACGGGAGGCAGAAGUGGGGAAUAUUGCACAAUGGGCGAAAGCCUGAUGAAGCGCCGCCGCGUGAGGGAUGACGGCCUUCGGGUUGUAACCCUCUUUCAUCAGGAACGAAGCGCAAGUGACGGUACCUACAGAAGAAGCACCGGCUAACUACGUG
Molecule: ribosomal RNA, 462 nt
Filed under: uncultured bacterium
Lineage: Bacteria
Description: partial 16S ribosomal RNA
Rfam family: Bacterial small subunit ribosomal RNA
Source: RNAcentral